Long non-coding RNA from Aethina tumida (small hive beetle), 606 nucleotides. RefSeq lists it as uncharacterized. The transcript is spliced from 2 exons. The record is from RefSeq and is a predicted model, not a curated record. NCBI's taxonomy places the organism in Eukaryota, Metazoa, Arthropoda, Insecta, Coleoptera, Nitidulidae.
AACUGGAGGAGCUGACCUUUAAGGUUAAGAACCCUAGAUUAAUCGAUAAUUUUAGAAGGUGUAGUAAAUAUCAAAAUAAUAUGGACAAAGAGGAACAGUACAGGGGAAAUGCGCAAGGUGGUCAACAUGGCAAAGAAGGGAAGAGAAGAGGAGGGAUGAAGAAUGAGAAUCAGCAGAAGGGCGACCGAAAUAAUAGAAGGAAAAGAGACGAAAAUGUCCUACGAAAAAUGGUAAGAGAGUUGGAGUAGCGACAAUAAGGGAAAGCGAACAUAGAGGCUUUUAGGAGAACUGUAUACGGAGGGAUAUGACAGCCGAAGAAAAAUUACACAUUAACAACUAACGUGCGAAACAACAAUACUUUUUUCGUAACUCCUCACAACCAAUGACCCUUCCUAGAACAGAGUCGAUAGCAAUAGGAUCGAUAAAAUCGCUACAAAAAUACGUCACACACUCGAAAAUGUUGACACUCCGCGUAUGUCUCGUUUAAUCUCUUCAUGCGCACUGAGAUACGAAAGGAUGUAAUAGAUGUAAAUAGAUCUAAUGUAAACAUAUGAAAGAUAAAAUAAUGUAGACGUAAUAUAGAAAUUAAUAAAACAGUAACAAUGG